UAUGAGGGAGCUGUAGGUGAU
This 21-nucleotide non-coding RNA is filed under the name Arabidopsis thaliana (thale cress). The record is from RNAcentral. Lineage: Eukaryota; Viridiplantae; Streptophyta; Magnoliopsida; Brassicales; Brassicaceae.